AGCGUAGACGGUGUGGCAAGUCUGAUGUGAAAGGCAUGGGCUCAACCUGUGGACUGCAUUGGAAACUGUCAUACUUGAGUGCCGGAGGGGUAAGCGGAAUUCCUAGUGUAGCGGUGAAAUGCGUAGAUAUUAGGAGGAACACCAGUGGCGAAGGCGGCUUACUGGACGGUAACUGACGUCGAGGCUCGAAAGCGUGGGAGCAAACA
This 206-nucleotide ribosomal RNA is filed under the name uncultured bacterium. RNAcentral's name for it is "partial 16S ribosomal RNA". It matches the Rfam family "Bacterial small subunit ribosomal RNA", at positions 568 to 774 of the family's 1533-position model. The record is from RNAcentral.